GCUGCAUGGCUGUCGUCAGCUCGUGUCGUGAGAUGUUGGGUUAAGUCCCGCAACGAGCGCAACCCUUGCCUUUAGUUGCCAGCAGUUCGGCUGGGCACUCUAAAGGGACUGCCGGUGUUAAACCGGAGGAAGGUGGGGGAUGACGUCAAGUCCUCAUGGCCUUUAUGACCAGGGCUACACACGUACUACAAUGGACCGAUACGAAAGGGCAGCGACACUGCGAGGUGAAGCCAAUCCCGUAAAAUCGGUCUCAGUCCGGAUUGGAGUCUGCAACUCGACUCCAUGAAGUUGGAAUCGCUAGUAAUCGUGGAUCAGCAUGCCACGGUGAAUACGUUCCCGGGCCUU
This 345-nucleotide ribosomal RNA is filed under the name uncultured Desulfobulbus sp. RNAcentral's name for it is "bacterial SSU rRNA". It matches the Rfam family "Bacterial small subunit ribosomal RNA", at positions 1040 to 1382 of the family's 1533-position model. Lineage: Bacteria; Pseudomonadati; Thermodesulfobacteriota; Desulfobulbia; Desulfobulbales; Desulfobulbaceae. The record is from RNAcentral.